Molecule: ribosomal RNA, 253 nt
Filed under: uncultured bacterium
Lineage: Bacteria
Description: partial 16S ribosomal RNA
Rfam family: Bacterial small subunit ribosomal RNA
Source: RNAcentral
UACGGGGGGGGCAAGCGUUGUUCGGAAUUACUGGGCGUAAAGGGCUCGUAGGCGGCCAACUAAGUCGGACGUGAAAUCCCCAGGCUCAACCUGGGAACUGCGUCCGAUACUGGAUGGCUUGAAUUCGGGAGAGGGAUGCAGAAUUCCAGGUGUAGCGGUGAAAUGCGUAGAUAUCUGGAGGAAUACCGGUGGCGAAGGCGGCAUCCUGGACCGACAUUGACGCUGAGGAGCGAAAGCGUGGGGAGCAAACAGG